AGUCUUGUGACUCCUCACUAGGACUACCCUGGCCAAGGUUUUGCUAAAUUGAAACACGACUAUACACAGCUCCUGAACUGGAGUGGUCAAUCCCAUCUUGACACACGCACCGACAAAUCAAGUACUUGACUACACCCAGCAGCCUUCCAUCACUGAAUUAGAAAUUCAGGUAGUUCAGUGCCUAAGUGCAGUGAGUUGCUUGCAAGUCAUUGUGGCAGUCUCAGGUCGGAGGGAUAGUUAUACCUAUAUCCCAUCGGAGCAAAUCUUGACAGCAGAAAAAGCUCCAGAGUCGGUCACGUUCAGUGCAGAUGUACCCUUACAUCUCACCUGUAUGCCAUACCAGUGUCUCCACACUCCUUGGUUAAGAGGACAACCAACCCAUAUCGCACACAAUGACCUAUGUUUGAUAAACAUUGUUGUCCUUGGUAACAACGUAUCAUUUUAUCGCGAACAGGUUUAAGGACUAAAUGACAAAUCCUCCUUUGUCGAGUCUAAAUAGUCCUAAGGACUUCACCACAACACAGGAGUUC
RNAcentral lists this long non-coding RNA (530 nucleotides) under Elaeis guineensis (African oil palm). RNAcentral's name for it is "long non-coding RNA (EGUI_LNC047012)". Lineage: Eukaryota; Viridiplantae; Streptophyta; Magnoliopsida; Arecales; Arecaceae. The record is from RNAcentral.